Molecule: long non-coding RNA, 32536 nt
Filed under: Coffea arabica (coffee)
Lineage: Eukaryota; Viridiplantae; Streptophyta; Magnoliopsida; Gentianales; Rubiaceae
Description: long non-coding RNA (CARA_LNC002357)
Source: RNAcentral
UUUUAAACCUCUGUGAUGCAGAUAUAGCAGAAUUGCCAGCAUCUAUUGGAAAGCUAAGGCAUUUAGAAUACCUUGAUCUCUCGAGGACAAAGAUAAAGUCUAUACCUGACUCUGCCUGCAACCUUUACAAGUUGAAGACAUUGAGGAUCAUUGGAUGUAAUUCUCUCAAAAAACUCCCAAAAUAUUUCAAGAAUUUGCUAUGCCUGAGACAUCUUCACUUCUAUUAUAAUGAGUACUUCUCUAUGCCAUAUGAGUUUGGGCGAUUAAGUCACCUUCAAACACUGCCAAUCUAUAACGUGGGAAAGGAGUGUGGUCCUCCAAUUGGGGAGCUGAAGCACUUGAAAGAUCUCAAAGGCAAGCUGGAGAUACGAAAUCUUGAUCUUGUGAAAGACAAAAAGGAAGCUCAGCAAGCAAAUCUAUUUGGGAAACCGAAUUUGCAGGAGCUGGAGCUUCGUUGGAUUGAUCCUGAAAGAGAAGAAAGAGAAGGUCCAAACAACGAUGAGAAUGUGCUGGAAGGCCUUGAGCCUUACCACAAUCUGAAAAGCUUAAGGAUCGAACACUUCCAAGGUGACAGAUUCCCAUCAUGGGUAAUGAAGAUGUCUGUUAAAAGAGGCUCUUUGCAACUUAACAAUUUGGUGGAGGUAAAACUGGAAAGCUGCACAAGAUGCAAGGAAAUCCCAACACUAGGGACCCUACCGCUUCUCCAAAAUCUUGAGAUAGUUGAACUCUCAGAAGUUAGCUGCUUUGGAUCAUCAUUUUACGGUGGCAAUGGAUCAAAUACCAACACCAGUGAAACUCAAGCUACAAAAUCAUUCUUUCCAGCACUCAAAAGCCUCACAAUAGACUGCAUGCCAAGCCUACUAGAUUGGAAGGGACCAGAAGAAAUCUCUGCAUCUUAUGAAGCUAAGACGUUUAAUAGCCUUGAGAGAUUAUUUCUUAGAUGGGAUCCAAAGCUGAUGACUGCUCCAAGUCAUUUCCCUGCACUCAAGGUACUGAGGGUUGAAUCCAUCAAGAGCAGCUCGCCACUGGAGUGUAUAUGCAAUUCCAAGCUGACCACCCUCACAAGUCUCCGUGUUGAGGAUGUAGAGGAGCUAACUUCUCUUCCAGAUGAGUUGCUGGAAAACAACACCAACCUUUCUCAUCUAUGUAUUAUAAAGUGCCACUCUUUGACACACAUUGUUCCUCAUAUGUCCGGUUGCAGUGCAGUGCUCCAAGAGUUGGAGAUCAAGGAAUGCGGGGCAUUACAAGAAUUUCCACCAGAAAUUUGUUCACUCAGAUCUCUCAAAAGGUUCGAGCUAUCAUACUGCCCUAGUAUCAAAUUAUUUCCAAAUUUGAAUGGACAGGGAGGCCUUCCAUCCCUUCAGAGCUUGACAGUUUCUGAGUGCCAAGGUUUGAUCAGUAUACCAAGUGAGGUAUUGGAGUCUUGCAAGUCUCUCCAAUACCUAUGGGUGACAGAGUGUGAAAAUCUCAUCGAGUUUUCUCCAAAUUUUCAACAAAUGCCUAACAUUUCAUUCAUGGGAAUUACUUCCUGCCCUAAGUUGAAUACCAUGCCCAAGGGGCUUGGUGCACUUAGCAACUUGGCUAACCUUAGGAUGGGUCCUCUUUCAAAUUCAAUGGAGUUUGAAACAUUCCAAACAUGUUUUACAGGGCUUCAACAGCUUUCUUCACUUGUUUCUCUAUUCUUAGAGGGGCAGCAUCACUGGAAUUCUUUGCCUGAAGAGCUUCAACACCUGACUGCUCUGAAAGAAAUGACUUUAUAUGACUUUGGAAUAGAAGUUUUGCCAGAUUGGAUAGGGAAUCUUUCCUCGAUUCAAAGUUUAGACCUCUCUUAUUGCCCAAAACUUGAGUCCUUUCCCUCCAAAGAAAUAAUGGAAGGCCUCAAGAAUUUGGAGAACCUGGAUAUCGAGGACUGUAAUCUGCUAGCAAGGAAAUGGAUGCUGCAAAAUGAACCAGAUUCUGAAUGGUUUAAAGUUUCCCAUAUUAAGCGCGUCAUUCUAGAUUAUGAAGAAGUUUCAGAUCCAAUCAUCUGGAAUAUGUAAGUGCUUCCAAAACUAUCCAUUUUACAUUUUACUCUUAGGUAGUUCUAGAUUCUUUACUUGCAAAAAAAAAAAAAAUUUUCUUGACUUGCUGCAAGUCCAAUCUACUAUAAUAUUUACUGUUUUUCUUUUCUGUUUAUUCCACUGCAAACCUCAAUUAUGCAGGAUCCAUAGGAUGAUGGAAAAGCGAAUGCAAAAGAGAAAUAAUGAGGAAAAGAAGAAGAAGAAGAAGAAGACGAAGAAGACAAAGAAGAAGACAAAUUCAAGUACUUCAACUAGCUGAAAAGUUGUAGAAGAAGAUUGUCAAUCAGGGAUAAAUAUUCUUUAGGAUAAGAUGAAGUUUAUUUGUUUUAAACUCUUGCAUAAAGUAAGACAAAUUCUCUUGAACUAAGAAGUGCUUUUUGAGAAAGUUCAAAGUAAUAGAAAAGUGAUUUUCCAUAGCAAAUCACUCUCUACUUGACCACUUUAUAUAGGAGAGAUUGUUUAAGAAACAAAAGAACUUAUUAAAUACUUGUAUAAAUAAAUUCAAGGUAUUAUAUACAAAUUCAUGCACUUUAAUUUAUACAUUCAACCUAGAGUAAUUUGAAAUUUCGAAGAAUAUUGUAAAUUGUUUGACUGCACCAAGCUAAAUGAGCUCUUAUUUAGCAGGUUCACUAUAGUAAAAGGCAAAGCUGAUCAGUACAAUCAUGCAAAGCUAAUUCAUACAAAGUUAGUUUGAUUCAUCUCGCAAUACAAUCAUGUUCUUGGUCUGGUCCUUAUUAAUCCUAAAGUUUUAGUGAAAAGUAAAUUUAGUAAGGAGGAAAACAGCAGAGGAAAACUCUCUGUUUUCUCUUAAUUAUAUUGUUAAAAAAAAAAUACUAUUUUAGCAAGGAGAAAAGCACGUCUCACCAAUAAUUGAACCCAAAAAAAAAGUGAAAAAUACAUACAGAUAAAACAUACAAGCAACCAAAAAUUUCAAAAGUACAUCAACAAUCAACUUAUACUCUUUUCAGUCUACUCUUUGGAAGACAACGUUGAAACUUGUACACAUGCAUUAUAUGACACAAGAAUGUGUCCAAAUUCAACUAAUAGAUGUACCUAAUCAUCUUAAAAAUGAGAGUUAGGCUCCUCAUCCAAUGAAUGUAAUAUUACUCACAGGAAAAUUGUUUUUGUCAAAAUGAAUGGUUUAUUCUUGAAAUAAAAACAACAAUGAGGCAAUCGAGUAUAUUGACGUUCAUAUUAGAUUUUUAAUCCAUAUGAGAUUCUUUUGUUUCUAGUAAUUACAAAAUAUUUUCAUAAGAAAAUAUAUUACUCUAUUUAAAGAUGGUAGCAGAAGAUGGAAGAAUUGUACACCAAAACAAAGUAGACUAGAGACAACAUCAUCAGUUCAUCAAACAAUGUCAAUGUCAAGAAUUGGUGAUUCCCAGAAGAGAGCAGUUGCACAUGUAGCUCUGUUUCCUAGUGCAGGAAUAGGCCAUUUGGUCCCAUUUCUGAGAUUGGCAGCCAUGCUUGCUUCUCCUAAUUGCCAAUGCAGAGUUACCUUGAUUGCUGUUCAGCCUCCAGUUUCUGGUGCAGAGUCCAACGAAUUGUCCAACGAAUUGUCUGCCUUCUUUGCUUCCCACCCUCAAAUCAAUCGGCUUGACUUUCAUCUCCCAAUUCCCAGCAGUCCAUCCGAAUUUGCAGACGCUGAAAAACCUGAUCCUUUCUUUGCUCGAUUUCUAGAUAUUAGUAGCUCAGUUCAUCUCCUGCAUCCUCUCUUGGCUUCCUUAUCUACUCCGCCUCUAUCUGCCAUCUUCGCUGACUUUGCUGUUGCAGCCGAUAUCAAUCGUCUAGCUGAUGAAUUAUCUAUCCCCCUUUACAUUGUAUCCACCACUUCGGCUAGAUUUUUUUCGGUUAUGGCUUGUCUUCCUCACUUGACAUUCGAAAGCAAAAGUUCGGAAGACUAGCAUUCAGCUUCCGGGUUUAGCUUCGGUGCCAAUUUCAAGCCUUCCUCCUCCCUUCUUUACUCCAGAUCAUAUUUUCACAGCCCACAUCCGUUUAAAUGCUCAAUUUCUCUCGAAAGCCAAGGGUAUUGUACUUAAUAGCUUUGAUUGGUUUGAGUCUGAAACAAUUGCUGCAGUAAAUACUGGCAGGGUGCUGGCUCAUUUACCGCCUUUCCUCCCCAUGGGACCAUACGAGCCUUGUAAGGCUGUCGUGAAAGCUGGCUCUUAUCUGCAGUGACUAGACGGCCAACCAAAUGAGUCUGUAGUCUAUGUUAGCUUUGGAAGCAGAACAGCAUUGUCAAAGGAACAAAUAAGAGAACUACGAAAUGGACUGGAGAGAAGUGGAUGUAGAUUUCUUUGGGCAAUAAAGACUACCAAAGUUGGCAAAGACGAGAGGGAAGAUCUGCAAGAUUUGCUUGGCAGUUCAUUUCUUGAAAGAACAAAGAAGAAGGGGCUAGUUUGUAAAGGAUGGGUGGAGCAAGAGCAAGUUUCAGCGCAUCCAGUAAUCGGAGGAUUUGUUAGCCAUUGUGGGUGGAAUUCUGUAACCGAAGCAGCUCGAUUUGGGGUGCCUAUAUUGGCUUGGCCUCUAAAUGGAGACCAAAAGUUGAACGCAGAAGUGACAGAGAAGGCAGGCCUUGGAGUAUGGAUGAGGCAUUGGGGCUGGCUGGGGGAGAAUCUAGUGAAGGGACAGGAGAUUGGGGAUCAAAUUAUCCAGUUGAUGCAGGAUAAAACAUUGAGGGUAAAGGCAAAGAAGGUGAAGGAAGAAGCUAGGAAGGCCUAUGAAGUUGGUGGGAGUUCUAAGAAAGUGCUUCUGGAAAUCAUAGAAAAUCUUUGAGCUGAAGCCAGUAGGAUGAAACUUGAAAUGGGCAGAAUCCACAUCACUGGUAGCAAAAAUUUAGCUGAGAACUCUGAUAAAUUACUGUUAUCUACUGUCGUAGAAGCAAAAUUCCCACUUUUGUGCUAUUUUUUAUCCUUGAUUUGUUGUCAAUUACUCCAGAUGAUGUUUCUCUUCUUCUCUUUCUGUACUUUUUUCCUUUCUUUCUAAAUACAUUAAUUUAUGAUAUCAACAAAUAAUCCUUGCUUCGUGUAGAAUUGACCUGAUAGAAGGAAAAAAAAUUAAAAUGAUGAUAGAAAUGACCCUUGAUUGGUAUGAACUUGAUUAUAUAAUCUUCAUACUAAUGCAACUUUACAGUUUGGAACUUAAAAGUAGGAGCUGAGAAGAUUGGUUGUCUUUGUUUAUUGCUGUUCACUGGUGUUUACCGACCAGCUGGUCAGAUUCAUUUCUAUUAGGAGAAUACAUAGAGACAGAUUGGUGUCAAGGUGAAUGUAGUGGAAGAUGCAGUACUUUGGUACCAUUAAUUUGUGUCAAGAAGCAUCACUUAGUACACAAUCAAGUUCUAUUGGCUACCAUGAUGAGUUUAUGUUCUAUAUAGUUGAAAGACAACUAAAAUUUGUGCACUUGCAUAUACAGCACAACAAUAUUUUUCCAAUUUUAACUAACUGGAAUACCUAAUUAUUUUCAUAAUGAAGACUGUGGCCCUUGAUCCAGUAAAUUUGACACAAACUCUUUUGUCACAAUGUACGGUUACUACUUGUAACAAAUAAUAAUGAACCACUGAGAGUUUAUUAUAGGCAAGGCAUGGAAAAGUUGACUGCAGAUCUAUUGCAUAUGUUUAAAAUAAUUAAAUUUCACAUACUUCAUUUACCUUUUAUAAUCACUAAAAAGCACACAGGUCUUUGGAACUUCAUUGCUCACUGAGCAUCAGAAUUUCUUCCUCUCUGCAAACUUGUGCAGAACAAAAGCACCUCUACCUGCGAGAGAAUGGCUGAAGCUGAGCUGAUGAGUGCAUCCAUGGACGUUUUGUUGCAGAAAGCAAUCUCAGUGACUGCUGAAAACAUAGACCUUGUGUUUGGUUCUCAGGAAAGCUCAGGGUCCUUGAAUACUAUGACAAAGAAUUUGUUUUCCCACUCCAGUGAAGAGACUAAUCUUGUGCAGACCAUCAGAGAAGAGUUGGAGAGUCUGGAAGGUUCUUUAUCAAUCAUCCAAGCCGUCUCGCGGGACAAUCUGAGGCUGCAGGACAAGGCAGAGAACAUCAAGCACUGGCUGCAGAAGCUUGGAGGUUUAGCCUAUAAUGCUGAUGAUGUUUUGGCAGAAUUUGCCUAUGAAAUUCUCCCAGCAUGAGGUAGAGAUCUUGAACCAAGAGAAACCAAAGGUAUGCUUCUUCUCCUCACAUUCUAAGAAGAAAGCCUUUGUCUAUGAAAUGUUACCAAAAGCAAGAGAUAUUUAUAAUAAGCUGAAGAUGAUCGAUAAAGGAAAUGAACACUUGUGUAGAUCAAAAGCACAAGCGAACCAGCAACCAUUAGGUCUUUCACUUAAGAAUAUCAGUUUAUAAUCAGCACAAGAGAAACACGGGAUUUAAGAAGUGGGGAAGUGACAGAGGAAUUAGAACUCACGACCCAUAAUUUUGUUCUCGUUGUUUAAUCUCUUCUUAUUUGGUCAUUGUGAAUUCUUUCAGCUUUUUGUAAUUUUUCCUUAUUUUACUCCUUUGCAUCUCCAAUCUCUCGCACGGAGGGUGAUCUUGGAAACUUGAAAAUCUACCACAUAAAACAUUAGUUCUUUUUCAUUUACAGUUUGUUAAUUAUCAAAAUUAGAAUAUUAAAGACAACACUAUAUAUCACCCGCUAUCUUUUACUGUGAUGAGCAUGUAAUUUCCAGGGCCACUGGAGCCCAGUGGUCAUCCCAAGCCUAAGGUGCGGGAAGUCAAGGGUUCGAACCUUGCCUCCCACAAAAAUUGUCACAAUAUGUGACGGUCUUCAUUGACCAGUUUCGAUGGAUUUUCUACUCACAUCGAGUCCUCUCCUCCUCCCCCUAGAAUAGGUUAGUUUAGAUUAUAGGAAUUCUAUCGUAUCGAAAAAAAAAAAGCAUAUUAUUUCCAGGCCAAAAGAAAAAAAAAAUGAGAUUAAGAGAUGCAUUUCAACCAAAAUGUUGUGUUUUGAGUAUGUGAGCACUUGAAAUGCAUCAUUUUAAACAGGGGAAAAAGUUUCGAUGGCCCUCAAACUAUUAACCGGAUGAAUUUUUGGCCUCUAAACAAUUAAAAGUGAACUUUUGGCCCCCGAUCUAUCAAAAGUACAAAAUGUUAUACCUUCUGUCAAAUUUAGUAGUUAAUACCGAUGGAAACUACGACCGCGUGAAACGCACACCGAAAUACAAAGAGCAUUUUUGUCCACAAUGAGCUAAAGCAUUUCUGAGAUGGUAAGAAAAAGAUAGGAAUCACUGCCAGACUUGUUUGGGGGCCAAUAAUUUACCCGACUAAUAGUUUAAGGGCCACUGAAACUUUUUCUCCUUUUAAAUAUGAUUGGAUGAAAAAGGAUGUUGUGUGGAUGUAAGGAACUAUUUGUUCAAUUUUCCCUUUUAGGAUUUUCUAUCACUUCUCUUUCUACACGCCUUAGUGUGCCUUUUAUUCUCUUCAUGUUCAUGACAUAUUAUGAGUUAGAAGUUCCACUCUCAUGCAAUGAAAAUUAAUAACUUAUCAGGCUUUUAGGAUCUGUUUAAUGUUAAUAAAAAUUUGAUGCAUUUAAGUCUAAAUAUUAGAUUGCUUUAGAACUUCUUUCAAACAAAUACUAAAUUUCUUGCUCUACCAACUGACCAAUUUCUUUUCUUUUUUUUUAUAUUCGGAUGAAUACUGAUUCAUCAACUUAAAAUGUACCAAAAGAUAGUGUUCUUCCAUUGGAAAAUAAACAAUAAUAGUAAAACAGUUGUAAUAAUCUAUUUCUACACUAAAAAAUUAGCCAAAGUAAAAGAACAAAAGGAGAAAGGAAAACAAAAUAUUCUAAAAUAUUCGCUAGGCCGCAGGAUAUUUAUACUUGUACGGAUCGUCAAGAUUGCCGCAUUGCAUGAUCUUCUCCCAAAUAGUGAAUUAACAAAAUCAGCUCCUCCUUCCAUGCAUAAACUUUAAGGUGAAAUAGACAAGACAUCUGAACCCUGGACCACAAUAUAGGCCGAAUAAGGGCAUGUAAAUUAUUAUUGCAAUUUCUUUUUUGCUUGAUUCAAAAUUUUUCUUCGGGUAAAAUACGCUUUAACGAUUUGUCAUGUAAUGCUUCUGUAAUUUCAAAAACUAUGCAUAACUCUCUCAUAAUUUGGACUAAAAUAUCAAAAUGAUGGAAAUCAUCCUUUGUAAUGGAACCCACAAAAAUGUCGAGAUUAUUCUUGUUUAAAAACUAAAAUAAAAGAAGUAAUUUAAAUACAUAAACAUAAUAUGCAUGAUAUUUUAAUCCUUUAUAGUUUUAUGUUUUACCAUAUAACCCCAUUAUAUUUUUUGAAAUAUGUGCAAAACUACCAUGUGAUUAAUGAAUAAUAUGCAACUUUAUAUACGGUACUUUUCACAUUUAAGUUGAAUCACUUAUGGAAUACAAAUUCCGUUAGUUUGACACUUUUGUCCAAACAAUGAGAGAUUUAUGUAUAGUUUUUUGAAACUAUAGUGGCGUUAUGUGUAAAAGUGCUAAACCACAGGGAGUAAAGUAUAAUUUACCCUUUUUCUUUUAUUGUGACACAUUUAUAUUAUGCAACGGAAAUUUGUUGCAAGUUCUAACAAAUUAAAUUAGUUCUUUCUUUUGAGAUUUGUAUUUGUUCUGAACAAUUAUUGUUUUAUCAAUAAAAGUGACAAACUUAUCAAAAAAUAGGAUAAAAUAACAAACUAAAAAGAAAAUAUGGAAUUGAUGGUAUUCUUUUCAAAUUCAACAUAUUUUAUGAUCACUACAGUAUUCAAAAUGGUUUAGCUGCUGAAAACAAUGAGUUCAGUUUUUCAGUUUUGACUAUUCUUUAUCUACAAAUUCACAAACUUUUGCCGAUCCACUACCUAAUUUCUAAAAUUCUGAGUCAAGUGAUUAAACUAGCACUUGGUUGGAUACAGCAUUGGGCUGGAAAACACAAAGUCACCACAUAUUAUUAUUUGCAAGCUAAUGGAUUCCGCCAAAGUUUUACAGACUACAACUAGUGCCAAUAUUGAUUGUGCACCUUAGACUGAGCUUCUCAUUUUAUUUGGAUUCAAAAGUUAAGAUUGAAGGAGUCGAAAUCUGGAUAUUGGGGGUUCUAAAGCAAUUUUUGCCCCAGAAUGCAUCAGCAUAAAGAACUUAAAUUAGUUCUAAUCCUUUUCUAGUCCUCCUUAACCUCCUCCCAAGAAACAAAAAAUAAUUCCAAAGUAAAACUAAAUUACAAAGUUUAGUUUUCUUUGUUCCUUUUGUUCUUCAAGAUCAAAUGCAGACAUAAAUUAACUUGCUCUUUUCCAAAAACGCAAUUUCAAAAACUAUUGCUUGAAAAUAUUUAGUAACUAACGUUGUAGUUUCUAAAAAGUACACUAUUGUAUAGAUUGGCUACACUAUGUUUUUAACUAAACCAUUACUAUUUUCCGUUUCCCUCCUCAGAUAGCAUCAACAAUUACCUUAAAUCAUGUUGAGUUUCAUUCCCAGACCACACAAUCUUUUCAAGUUUUUGGGGUAUAUUGUAACACAUAUAAAAGACACAAUCACAACACUUUUUUUCUGCCUAAAUAAAGUUAUUGAACUUUUUUCCUGAUAAGCAAUUUACAAUCUACUCUCAAUUUAAACUCGUCAUUUUACUUUUAAUACUUGUAUAUAUAGUUGCAUCAUUUCAACUUUUAGGUUUAAGAUCAGCUUCUAUUGCAAAACUCUAGCUCCCCUACAACCCAUAGCCAACAUUUAUAAAGGCGUUGUUAUCAUUUUGCUCUCCUAAAGUUUAGAGCUACUUUCAGUCUCCAUCAUAGCAUUAUUCUUCAGGCAUUUUAUCUCUAAACCUAACACUCACACUUGGCGUAGUUUAGCGAUGCAAUUAUAAGAUACAUUUAGCCCUUAGAGUCAUUACUUUAUCCUCUUAAACUAUAGACUAUAGAGCUAUUAUUAGGUUACCUCCUAACAUAAUUUUUUAUGUAUUCUACCCAUUAAAAUAGUUUAGCAUGUUGAUAAAUUUUGGACAAAAUUACCUUUCUCUUUAUGUAAUAAAAAUAUUCAAAAACUUUGAAUUAUUCUUCACCAUUUUUCCCACUCUAUUAAAUACAAAGGGGUGAUUCUCCUUUUUUUUGGCACUCUUAUCAAUAUUAAGAAAGGCAAGAGACGGGAAAGAAUUAGAGGGAAAACUCGAUUCUGGAAAGAAAGAAUAUGAGAAAGAACAUAGUAUUCUCAAUAUACUUUUUACCCUAAUAGUAUUGAUAGUUAGCCUUAAGGCAUCAGAGUUCGAGGGCAUACAGGCAAAUGAGCAAAGCUGAUUGUUACAUAUUCAAGGAAAGAAAUUAUAUGUUCACAAAUUCCCCCCGCAAAGUUGAGUGGAUAUGGCCUAAAUUAUAAGUUAACAUUGACCCAAGAAAAGAGGGGCUCAUAAUUAUUCAUCUGUGAGGAUCCGAAAAUUUUCUUAUUUUAUAGAAUAUUACUGGAAUAUUUAAAUGAUUAUUCACUCAUUUUCUUCGAAUUAUUUAUUUCGACCAUUUUAAAUCCAUUUAUAUGGAAUGACGCCUCUUUAUAAUUUUAAAGCGUUUUGUUGAAAAAUUCGCUUUUCGAAAAUUUGUUUAGUCCUGAACGACGGGUGCACGUUUUUCUAGGCUAUACUUGAAUCGGGAGUGUAUUAAUAUUGGAGAAUUAAGAACGAUCAAUAAUAGAUUAAGAAAGGUUAAUGGAGGAAUUAAUACUCAAUUCACGUGAGGACUCGUAAAAUUAUUAUUUUUAAAACCCCUAAUUUUGGCUCAAUUAAUUAUCUAUUUGGAUUUUUGCCCCGAAUAUUAUUUUCUAUCCUUAUUAGACCUAAGUACAUGGUUUUAUAGUUUCGUUAUAUUUUUAAAGUAUCUCGUUUCAAAAAUUAUUUUCUUAGAAGCUUGUUUAGUGAAAAAGUGAAAACGUGUCUAAACACUUUAGCCAAUUGGGAGUACACUAAGCUCGAAAAUUUGGGGAUAUGUACAAUGGUUCUAAAAUAGGUAAAUUUAGGUUUAAAUACUCAAGUGGUAGUUAGUGGUACGAUCGUUAUAAGAAUUUCUCGAAAGUUUCAUUUUUUUUGCGCAUAAAUUGGAAAUACGUGUUUUCACGUGUGCGCUUAAUUGAGGGACUUUGGACCAUUAUUUUGGAACAAUUAAGAAUGAAUAAUAUUUAUAUGAAUGUAAGUGCCCUAGAGGUUUAGUGCACUAGUGCAACAAACUUAAGAGAAAUCGAGCACAAAACGCGCGCGUAGGCGCACUAUUUGCAAUUGAUUCUUUUCCGCACUUAAACUAUUACACGAGUAGCGUUCCUUAUACGCCAAAGGAUCAGCAAAACACUUCAUUUCUUCAAGCUCCUUGGACGGCUAGCAGCUGCAAAGAAACAACAAAAACUUUCAACAUUCCCUCUACAAAUCUUACUCAAUCUCUACCAAAUUCUCUUAAAAAAAUUCAACUACACUUAGCUCAACUCUUGGGAAGUCCAUCUAGCUGCAAAAGAAAGGAGCUAUCCACGGUUUUCUUCAGGCUUCAAAGGGCCGAAAAUUCUGUCUUGACAAACCAUCAAAGUAGGUAAUGAUCUAAUACCUUAAACUUGUCCUAUGGAAGUUAAAUUACACUUAUGAGCUUGAAUUUGCAUAUGGGUUGUGGUUGUUGUUGGAGAAAUUGGAAAAGUGGGCUCUAUGAAUUCCCACUCUUGGGUUACUGCUGAUUUUGUUCUUGAUGAUGUUUAUAAUGUGGAAUUAGUGUUUAAAUCAGUGGUUUGUUGAUGGAAAAUUGAUAGAAACUCACGUUAGGUGCAAAGGCCAAAUCUGACCAUUUUGCCCCUGCUUUGUUCGGCCACCUUAAUGCAGAAAUUUGAGGAUUUAAUGGCUUGAUUGCAUUGUUUACAUGUUGUAGAAAUUGUGUACAAAUUUUCAUUGAAAAAAUGUUGAGUUUUGGUUGAUCAAAAGAAUUUAUUUCCCAAAGCUAGUAAUCUGGAAAACGGUUCCCGUCGUAACCAGACCAGUGUUCGUAUUUCGUCCAUAACUCCGUACUCCGAUGUCGAAAUCAAGUGCCGUUGGCGGCAUUUGAAACUAGACAUUCCCAUCUUUCCAACGGUAUAUAAUACACGUUCUGGUUCCAUGUGUGUGAACCGCACUACUCUUCUGAAUUCAGCUGCCAUGUUUCUCCGUUCUGCCGAAAUGAUUUGAUGAUGCUGCAGCUUUAGGCUUAAUUUCGAGCCAGUUGCAUGCUGAAACUUAAAAAGAUUUCUUCUGUGAAAUUUUAGCCCUAUGAAUGUACUUUCUAACAAAUCAACCAUGCUCAAAUCCAAGUUAAAUUGAGUGAGUUAUGAUCAAAAUACGGUGACUGCCUUGUUCUUGAAAACCCUUAGAUUUGGACAGAUUAGAUGUGAGACUUGUUGUGGUCUUACCAAAUGAAUUUCUUGGUGCUAAACACCUACCAAAUGUACCAUGUAUGCUCCUUAGACUUUUCUUACACAAAUGAACCAUGUUUGGAGGUUUUCCUUAGCCGAAUGUUUGGAAACGGAGAGAAAGGGGGCUAAAGGUAGUUUUGCCUUAGUAAUUUCAAAACUUUGGUUGAUUGGUUAACCACCUUUCCGAAGGUAUUUUUCCACGAAUUUUGAUAGAGAGAUACCCUUCAUAUAGGAGUAUUAUACUGCAAAAUUUGGUAUCAAUCCAAGUCCGUUUCGACACUUAACAAAAGGUCCAAAGUCGGAACCAAAUCUGGAAAUUUUGUAACAGUCUUGAAUUUUUUCCAACUUUGAGCUAUCAUAUCUUGGUGCUCGAAACUCCGAUUCUCGAUCCUCUUAUUCUGCCAUAAACCUUACUUGUACCUCUAAUUGAGCUAUAAAUUUCAAGGGCUGGUUUACAACGAGUGAAUUCUGCCGAAUUUCCAAAGUUAGCAAAAAACCAACCCCGGCUUAAUCCUGGGUGAUUUGGAACAGCAACUUUAAACUCAUUAUUGAAUACCUUCCAUUUAAAUUCAUGGAACAGUGUUUUCGAAGAACUUUUAGUACUUUCAAAUACGAUUCCAACGGUACCAAGUUUAUCAAUUUUUGACUAGUAGAAAAGAAGUUAUGAUUUUUCAAAAAUUUUACCAAAAAUCGAAAAUUCUGGAAUUUCAAAAGAAAUCCGCGCGGGAAGCAUUUUUCUAGAAUCCGGCCUUGAAUCCAGCCAGAACUGGCCGGAUAGGUGGCCGGAUUGUAGCAGGAAUUUGAAAAAAAAUGAGGAUGGCUACUGCCUCCAAUCCGGCCAAGAAUCCGACCGGAUUGUGACGUGGCCAGUCCACUUUCAACUUCGGUCGUUCGUUUUGAGAUUUAUACGCACGUACUCGUUUCCACCCAAUGAUUUCAAGAAUAAUAAUCCGAUAUUACUCGAGUCUCGUACUUUUUGCGAAUCCAAUUUCAAAGACAAACUCAAACGAAAUUUCCAAAAUAUUUCCAGACCACAUUUGUGUUCGAUCACCUCGUCUCUUAGGGACCUAUAGUAAUGGUCUUCUAUUCGAUGUUCAGGCACGCACGAGGACCUCUAAGAGGAUCCUACCAUGGAAGUUUGAACACUCAAUCCAACCUGCUUGCUUGCGUAACUUGGUGAGUGUCAGGUGUAUGUAAACUUGUUACAUGUUUAAUUGUUAUUAAUGAUUGGAAAUCUUGAAAGUGGAGUCGAGUGUGUACUUUACCACACUUGUUCUCAUUAGAAAUGAAAUAUUAAUGGUUGAAAUGUAUUGAAUGAAUGAUUGAAAUGCAUUGAAUGAAUGAUUGAAAUGUAUUGAAUGAAUGAAUGAAAUGUAAUGGUAUGCUAUAGUUGCCUACGUCGUUGGAGUGAAUCUCCUCGACACACAAGUGCACAUGGGGACGCCCAAAUCUCAUUGACCGACCUUGGACUCGAGCCGGCAUGGGAUUGGUCGGAAACCUUGGCGAGCCAUGAGAUAUAUAAGCUUGACCUAGUGAGAGGUCUUGCUUGGCAUACUCGAGUAGUAUCGCCACAAACAAAUGACAGGCGAGCCCGAUACAGGGGUAUGUAAGGUGAAAGGGGACAGGUUAAGUGGAGUUCUACGGAUUAAACCUACCUGAUUGACGGAGUGUCAAUUCGUGGAGGUUAUUGAAUGUGCAAGUGGAAUAUAGCUCCUGAGGGCUCCAGUAUCCUUGAAUUGUUUCUGGUUAUAUUUCCAGUAAAUUGUUAAUUACUAAAAUAUGAUUGCUUGACUUGUAAAUUGAGAUUGUUAUUUGAGCAAUGUGCUUGUAUGUGUGUUCUUGGCCUCACGAGCGUUUUUGCUCACCCUGUAGAUUUGUUUUCCUUAACAGGAUUGAACUUGGCGAGGUAUCGAAGAAACCUUCCUGCUACGCUUUUGUUUAGGGUUUCUAUUACUUUUGGCUAUGUCUUGGCUUUUGGGUUGUAUUUUGGAAUCCGAAUGUAACUUUUGGAGCAUGAUGUAUAUUUGGGAUAUAUGAUGGUUGUUGAACACCCGAUGUGCGGGUUGGAUAACGGAUGACUUUUAUUAAACUUGAACGCUUCCGCAUUUAUUGUAUCUAAGUUAUUGACUCGUAUGGUGUGGUCCGGCAAUAAGUUUAAAUGGAAUUGCUUGAGUCCUGGCGAAAGUUAGCCAGGCGUCCCGCGGAUACCCUUUGGUUCGCCUUAAGGAGAAGUGAGGGCGUCACAGUUGGUAUCAGAGCAUAGGCUUUAGAUCUUGUAGUGUAUCCUAGGUUUAAAGUUUAGGAUGCUUGACUGUGGGAUUAAUUUGAAUAUUAUGUGAACUAGAGGAUCUAUUGUAUCCUACGGGUUAAAGAAAUUGGUUACUUGAGAGUUUCUUACUUAGAACUUGUAGAAAUAAAAAAUUGAGGAAUUAGCUGAUGUUAUAUUGAAGGAAAAUAUGGGAUGAGAGAUUAGUAGUGAAAGAUUGGAGGAAUUUGAAUUAUUAUUAUACUUGUAAGUGUGGAAAGAAGUGAGACAAUUAUUAGUGUUGGCUAAAGCGGAUAAGAGACCGAGAUUUGAUGGUCAAACUCCAUGUAUCGUGAUUGUGAACCCAGAUAAAAGAGUUUCAAAGGAAUAAAAUGCAUUUUCCUGCUCAUUUACCUCCUAAAGAUUUUAUGAUUUGAAAUUCUAAAGGAAAAAUGAGGAUGUACUAGUUUUAUUUUCAAACGGUGAUUGGAAAUAAUAUAUAUAUGCUUUAAGUAUGUGUAAUUCUUCGAUUUUGGUAAAUAUGUGAAUUUUACUUGAAUUUCAAUUUAAAAAUUUGUGAAUAACUGAUGAGUUUGUUGAAAUUUUGUAUGUGAUGGGCUGAUACAAGGUUAAAAUUUUCUAAACUAGAUUUUUUCCCUUGAUUGUAUACUGGUGUAUUCUCACACUUGAAUUCAUUUAUGGUUUACAAAAUAAUAAUAAUAAUAAUAAUAAUAAUAUCUUGAAUUUUCGGAAGGACGGCGAACUUAUGUUUUUAUAAUGAAAAUCUUGAAUUUGAUAAGAUUUUUGUUACUUUAAAUACUCUUCUUAUCUUUUAAAAUUCUUGGUUUUCAAGAAGGGUGAGUCUAUCUUUAGGUGUACGGAUUGAGGGAACUUUGAGAUAUAGAGUAACCGCGUUCAAGAACACGCAGUUAGUGUGAAUUGACUUGGUUUCCAUUUGACACGUAAGUUAGCAAGUUGUACUUAUUUCUUGGGUUUGAACUUGGAGCUUGAGACUUUAACUAUAAAACCCUAAGACUAGUUAUUCUUGGAGAUGAUGGUGCUCUGGUUGGUGGCUUGCUUAUUAAAGAUUUUGAAUUUCGAAUGGAUAACCUUUGGUUUCCGCUUGUGUUAUGGUUUGAUUGGAUCUAAUUUCGUAAAGGCAUGUGAUCUGAUUGGAAUUAGUGAUAUUCGGACCCAUUGGUUUAAUUAAGGACUUAGGAAGGGUGGUGCACGCCGUGAGACCUUUUGUAUCCCGCUUGCAUAUAUUUCUACAUUUUGUGACCCUUAAUUACCUAUAUACAGUAUUUGACAUAUUGGGCUUGUUUUGUGACUUCUUAACUCGUACUAUAACUUUCGAUACAUGUAAAGAAUCAUGUCUUGAUUCUAAAUAUUUUUGCAACUUGUAUAUACAUUAAGUUCUUUUAUGAUUAAUUAUUCCUUUUCUUGCACUUAUAGACUCCUAUUAAGUAUGGUAGCAGGAAUAGGAAAAAGGGGUCGUGGCCGAGGACUUAGACAACCCUGUACUCGUGAGAAAAAUUGAUGAAUAGUCUUAUAUAAUUUAAUGAGAUCCUAGUACUGAAUAUGAAUCGAGAAUAAACGAGAAGAUUAGAUCUAUCAGUGUAUAAUGGAUUAACCUAGUUGGGAACUUAGUGAGAUUUUCCUGUGUGAAAUUUUAAUAGCUGCUUUAUACGUAUAUUAUGAUUGGUCAUGUGGCCAUAUUUCAACUUUUGUGAAAGUUUGAACUCCAAAAGUAUUUCGUGGGUUUGGUGAGAUGACUUGAACUCAUUACCAAUUUGUUCUACUUGAACAAAAGCGCUUUCAAUUUUACUUGACUAAUACUAUACCCAGAUUCACUUGUUUUACUUUUCACAAAAUUUAUAUAUAUAUAUGUAUACACAUUUUGAACUCGUUUGAAACUCGAAAUCAAAUAGAGUUCAAGUUCGAAUCUUUCUUAGGAACAUGAAUGCCUAUUUGUUAUGAAUCAGAUAUUAGAAAUGAUCGGGUUUUAUGUACCAGUAGAGUUAACUCUUUGUUGGAUAAAAGGGUGGUAAAGGUAUUAGAUCACAGGUUAUGCGAAUAUGAACCUACAUGUUUACCUAUCUUUCUUAAAGGUAUUUUCUAAAAUAUACGCCUUACUCGAACAUAGAUUUAACUCGAAACUUUGUGGAAGAGUGUUGUUACACCCUCCAUGUAUAUGUUAUGAUUAUUAUGUAUAUGUUUUAAAAAUCAUGCAUUAAGUUGCAUGAUUAAUAUUUUUAAAUCUAUUUGAGAGAUUUUAAAUAUGUAUUGAUGAUUGUGGUUAAAUAUUAUUUGAAAUCUCUUACUAAGAAAAUUUAGUUUUGGAUCGUGAAGAAAAAUUUGUAUCUUUAACUCUAAUUUUGAAAAUUUUGAAUCGCAUUUUGCCACAGAUACAUUCAAAAUACAUCAAAAGUCUUGACCUUAUCUUGUAAGUCAUGAUUGGUUUGAUUUAGACAAAAUUUUGAGGAAAGGGAUUUUGGUCCUGCUAGUGCGUAAUAGUUUUUUUGUUAGGAUUUGGAACUUGUUUCAUAUGGCGUGUAAUUUAUGGUUCCACUACACACGGGAGUAAGACCUUAGAAUGGAAGUACAUAUCAUUAUAUCAAGAGGUAUUCAUUUAGUCGUGUGUGGGGAUUUUCUUAAGUAUCAUUCGAGGAGAGGGAAGAGUAAAUAUACCUGGAUGACUUAGAUGCGUGAGAAUUUACAGGUUGUGGAUAGUUGAGUUUCAAAUUCUGAUUUGCUACUUAUUUAGAUGCUUGAGCAGUUGAUAGGCUAACAGUCAGGAUUAAGAAAAUGGAUGAAUGAAAAGUUUGGAAGAGAUGCGUAUAGAAAUAGAAGUUCUUCACAAGGAGUUGGAAUUCUAAACUAAAUUGGCUGAAUUCUGGGGAAAAAAAAAGGGUCGAGAACUUAGGGUUGAAGAUGGGAUCCAAUGUUUGAUCGCCAACUUGAGAUAUUAAAAGUUGUGAGAUUUGGGUGAGUGAAAGGAAAUAUUUGAUGGCUUGAAUGAGUCUAACGAUUAAGGACCGGAUGUUAUAUUUGGAAUGGACGCUUGAGGCUAUAUAUACAUAGAUUAUUGAGAUUUGAACGAUGAGACUAUUAAGAACAAAUACUCCAUAGCCUCACAUAAACGAGAAUUAUAAUCAAGGGUCAAGAGCAGCGAAUAAAAGAUUUAAAGUAGAGUUACUACCAAUCGGAAAUCUUAAAAACUGAUGUGCUUAACCACUUCCAAUUCAAGAUGGGGAUGCUUGAAUUUUCAGUUAUGCCAAUUGGGUUGACUAAUGUAAUAGCAGCAAUUAUUGCAUUAAUGCAUCAAGGUUUUAAAUCGUAAUAGGAUUAAUCUGUGAUGACAUUUAUUGAUGAUGUAUUGAUAUACCCUAAAGUUUGAGAAGAUCAUGAAAAAAUACCUGAUGGUAGUUUUAAAACCCCGAGAGAACGCUAACUUUUGUUAAGUCCAAUAAAUGUGAGUUCGAUGGGAAGAAAUAGCCUUUCUAAGUUAUAUAAUAUCUAAGGAAGAAAUUGUUGUUAACUCAGCUUAAGUGGAAGCUGUUUAAGAGGAAAUGACUAGAAAAUCCUACCGAAAAUUGGAGUUCUUAGAGGUAGUCGAAUAUUACCUUGGUUUGAUCAGGGACUUCUAAGGAUACGAGAUUUGACAAGUUAUUUGAGAUUCUAAAUGUGAGGAAGAAUUUGAAGGUGAAAAUCGUUUAACCAGUGCACUUGUGUUGGCUUUACCGAGCGGAUGAGGUGAUUUUGUGAUUUAUACAGAUGGUUCAAAUGAUGGUUUAGAAUGUAUAUUAAUAAUAUAUGAUGAGGUGAUUGUAUAUGCCUUCUGAAAGUUAAAAUUUCCCGGAAGAAAGUAAUCAACUCAUGAUUUGGAGUGAGUUGGAAAAUGUAAGUCAAUGAUUGAUCUGAUAGGCUUAACCAUGAAGGGAAUGAUAUUGUUCUCAGUAUGAAUUUCGAGGACGAAAUUCCUUUCAAGAAGGGGAGGAUGUGAGGAUCCGAAAAUUUUCUUAUUUUAUAGAAUAUUAUUGAAAUAUUUAAAUGAUUAUUCACUCAUUUUCUUCGAAUUAUUUAUUUCGACCAUUUUAAAUCCAUUUAUAUGGAAUGACGCCUUUUUAUAAUUUUAAAGCGUUUUGUUGAAAAAUUCACUUUUCGAAAAUUUGUUUAGUCCUGAACGACGGGUGCACGUUUUUCUAGGCUAUACUUGAAUCGGGAGUGUAUUAAUAUUGGAGAAUUAAGAACGAUCAAUAAUAGAUUAAGAAAGGUUAAUGGAGGAAUUAAUACUCAAUUCACGUGAGGACUCGUAAAAUUAUUAUUUUUAAAACCCCUAAUUUUGGCUCAAUUAAUUAUCUAUUUGGAUUUUUGCCCCGAAUAUUAUUUUCUAUCCUUAUUAGACCUAAGUACAUGGUUUUAUAGUUUCGUUAUAUUUUUAAAGUAUCUCGUUUCAAAAAUUAUUUUCUUAGAAGCUUGUUUAGUGAAAAAGUGAAAACGUGUCUAAACACUUUAGCCAAUUGGGAGUACACUAAGCUCGAAAAUUUGGGGAUAUGUACAAUGGUUCUAAAAUAGGUAAAUUUAGGUUUAAAUACUCAAGUGGUAGUUAGUGGUACGAUCGUUAUAAGAAUUUCUCGAAAGUUUCAUUUUUUUUGCGCCUAAAUUGGAAAUACGUGUUUUCGCGUGCGCGCUUAAUUGAGGGACUUUGGACCAUUAUUUUGGAACAAUUAAGAAUGAAUAAUAUUUAUAUGAAUGUAAGUGCCCUAGAGGUUUAGUGCACUAGUGCAACAAACUUAAGAGAAAUCGAGCACAAAACGCGCGCGUAGGCGCACUAUUUGCAAUUGAUUCUUUUCCGCACUUAAACUAUUACACGAGUAGCGUUCCUUAUACGCCAAAGGAUCAGCAAAACACUUCAUUUCUUCAAGCUCCUUGGACGGCUAGCAGCUGCAAAGAAACAACCAAAAACUUUCAACAUUCCCUCUACAAAUCUUACUCAAUCUCUACCAAAUUCUCUUAAAAAAAUUCAACUACACUUAGCUCAACUCUUGGGAAGUCCAUCUAGCUGCAAAAGAAAGGAGCUAUCCACGAUUUUCUUCAGGCUUCAAAGGACCGAAAAUUCUGUCUUGACAAACCAUCAAAGUAGGUAAUGAUCUAAUACCUUAAACUUGUCCUAUGGAAGUUAAAUUACACUUAUGAGCUUGAAUUUGCAUAUGGGUUGUGGUUGUUGUUGGAGAAAUUGGAAAAGUGGGCUCUAUGAAUUUCCAAUCUUGGGUUGCGGCUGAUUUUGUUCUUGAUGAUGUUUAUAAUGUGGAAUUAGUGUUUUAAUCAGUGGUUUUUUGAUGGAAAAUUGAUAGAAACUCACGUUAGGUGCAAAGGCCAAAUCUGACCAUUUUGCCCCUGCUUUGUUCGGCCACCUUAAUGCAGAAAUUUGAGGAUUUAAUGGCUUGAUUGCGUUGUUUACAUGUUGUAGAAGUUGUGUACAAAUUUUCAUUGAAAAAUGUUGAGUUUUGGUUGGUCAAAAGAAUUUAUUUCCCAAAGCUAGUAAUCUGGAAAACGGUUCCCGUCGUAACCAGACCAGUGUUCGUAUUUCAUCCAUAACUCCGUCCUCCGAUGUCGAAAUCAAGUGCCGUUAGCGGAAUUUGAAACUAGACAUUCCCAUCUUUCCAACGGUAUAUAAUGCACAUUCUGGUUCCAUGUGUGUGAACCGCACUACUCUUCUGAAUUCAGCUGCCCUGUUUCUUCGUUCUGCCGAAAUGAUUUGAUGAUGCUGCAGCUUUAGGUUAAUUUCGAGCCAGUUGCAUGCUGAAACUUAAAAAGAUUUCUUCUGUGAAAUUUUAUCCCUAUGAAUGUACUUUCUAACAGUAUCAACCAUGCUCAAAUCCAAGUUAAAUUGAGUGAGUUAUGAUCAAAAUACGGUGACUGCCUUGUUCUUGAAAACCCUUAGAUUUGGACAGAUUAGAUGUGAGACUUGUUGUGGUCUUACCAAAUGAAUUUCUUGGUGCUAAACACCUACCAAAUGUACCAUGUAUGCUCCUUAGACUUUUCUUGCACAAAUGAACCAUGUUUGGAGGUUUUCCUUAGCCGAAUGUUUGGAAACGGAGAGAAAGGGGGCUAAAGGUAGUUUUGCCUUAGUAAUUUCAAAACUUUGGUUGAUUGGUUAACCACCUUUCCGAAGGUAUUUUUCCACGAAAUUUGAUAGAGAGAUACCCUUCAUAUAGGAGUAUUAUACUGCAAAAUUUGGUAUCAAUCCAAGUCCGUUUCGACACUUAACAAAAGGUCCAAAGUCGGAACCAAAUCUGGAAAUUUUGUAACAGUCUUGAAUUUUUCCCAACUUUGAACUACCAUAUCUUGGUGCUCGAAACUCCGAUUCUCGAUCCGCUUGUUCUGCCCUAAACCUUACUUGUACCUCUAAUUGAGCUAUAAAUUCAAGGGCUGGUUUGCAACGAGUGAAUUCUGCCGAAUUUCCAAAGUUAGCAAAAAACCAACCCCGGCUCAAUCUUGGGUGAUUUGGAACAGCAACUUUAAGCUCAUUAUUGGAUACCUUCCAUUUAGAUUCAUGGAACAGUGUUUUCUAAGAACUUUUAGUACUUUCAAAGACGAUUCCAACGGUACCAAGUUUAUCAAUUUUUGACUAGUAGAAAAGAAGUUAUGAUUUUUCAAAAAUUUUACCAAAAAUCAAAAAUUUUGAAAUUUCAAAAGAAAUCCGCGCGGGAAGUAUUUUUCUAGAAUCCGACCUUGAAUCCGGCCAGUUUCUGGCCGGAUAGGCGGCCGGAUUGUAGUUGGGAUUUGAAAAAAAAUGAGGAUGGUUACUGCCUCCAAUCCGGCCAAGAAUCCGGCAGGAUAUCCGGCCAGAUUCCGGCCGGAUUGUGACGUGGCCAGUCCACUUUCAACUUCGGUCGCUCGUUUUGAGAUUUAUUCGCACGUACUCGUUUCCAUCCAAUGAUUUCAAGAAUAAUAAUCCGAUAUUACUCGAGUCUCGUACUUUUUGCGAAUCCAACUUCAAAGACAAACUCAAACGAAAUUUCCAAAAUAUUUUCAGACCACAUUUGUGUUCGAUCUCCUCGUCUCUUAGGGACCUAUAGUAAUGGUCUUCUAUUCGAUGUUCAGGCACGCACGAGGACCUCCAAGAGGACACUACCGUGGAAGUUUGAACACUCAAUCCAACCUGCUUUCUUGCGUAACUUGGUGAGUGUCAGGUGUAUGUAAACUUGUUACAUGUUUAAUUGUUAUUAAUGAUUGGAAAUCUUGAAAGUGGAGUCGAGUGUGUACUUUACCACACUCCUAUUAUUAUAAAUGAAAUAUUAAUGGUUGAAAUGUAUUGAAUGAAUGAUUGAAAUGGAUUGAAUGAAUGAUUGAAAUGUAUUAAAUGAAUGAAUGAAAUGUAAUGGUAUGCUAUAGUUGCCUACGUCGUUGGAGUGAAUCUCCUCGACACCCAAGUGCACAUGGGGACGCCCAAAUCUCAUUGACCGACCUUGGACUCGAGCCGGCAUGGGCUUGGUCGGGAACCUUGGCGAGCCAUGAGAUAUAUAAGUUUGACCUAGUGAGAGGUCUUGCUUGGCAUACUCAAGUAUUAUCGCCACAAACAAAUGAUAGGCGGACCCGAUACAGAGGUAUGUAAGGUGAAAGGGGACAGGUUAAGUGGAGUUCUACAGACUAAACCUACCCGAUUGACGGAGUGUCAAUUCGUGGAGGUUAUUGAAUGUGCAAGUGGAAUAUAGCUCCUGAGGGCUCCAGUAUCCUUGAAUUGUUUCUGGUUAUAUUUCCAGUAAAUUGUUAAUUACUAAAAUAUGAUUGCUUGACUUGUAAAUUGAGAUUGUUAUUUGAGCAAUGUGCUUGUAUGUGUGUUCUUGGUCUCACGAGCGUUUUUGCUCACCCUGUAGAUUUGUUUUCCUUAACAGUAUUGAAUUUGGCGAGGUAUCGAAGAAACCUUCCUGCUACGCUUUUGUUUAGGGUUUCUAUUACUUUUGGCUAUGUCUUGGCUUUUGGGUUGUAUUUUGGAAUCCGAAUGUAACUUUUGGAGCAUAAUGUAUAUUUGGGAUAUAUGAUGGUUGUUGAACACCCGAUGUGCGGGUUGGAUAACGGAUGACUUUUGUUAAAUUUGAACGCUUCCGCAUUUAUUGUAUCUAAGUUAUUGACUCGUAUGGUGUGGUCCGGCAAUAAGUUUAAAUGGAAUUGCUUGAAUCCUGGCGAGAACUAGGCAGGCGUCCCGCGGAUACCCUUUGGUUCGCCUUAGGGAGAAGUGGGGGCGUCACAUCAUCUGUUUGCAAUAAAAACUGUUUAAUUAGGUUAUGCCUCUGGUUGUGGACAAUAUGCAGAAAGCAAGUUUAUCUAAUGUGUUACCUUUAAAAAAAAAAAAAGUUUGUCUAUUAUGUUGAAAUACAAAACUGAAAAUAGCACAGCAAAACUUGUCCAAUUUCACCUUAUAUAGACGAUCCUAAGCGUUUUAAAAAUGAAAAUGUUGCCCCAGCUAGCUAAAACAAAUUGGAGACAAUGAGAAUCAGAUUAAAAUGUUAAUUCUAGUUCCCAAAAUUUAGCUUAACUCGUUUGGACAGUAACCAAGUAAUCAUGAGAUUCUUGAUUUAACCCCUACCAUUUCCUGUUUCCCUCUUGUAAGGUUUGAAAUCUUCCCUUGAACCAUUUGUCAAUUUUUGAAAGAAACAGCAGUAAAAUAAAAGAGUAUUCAUGUUCACAUUGGGAUUAUUUAAUACUCCAUUCUUAUCCAAUAACAAAACUAGUCAUAUAUUUGUUUUACUUCUCAAAAAAUUUAAGGGCAAAUUUCACUUUACCCCGUGUGGUUUAGUAAUUUUUUUACAUAACCCCCAUAUAAUUUUAAAAACUAUAUAUGACCCCGUCAUGGUUUGGAUUAAGUGUCAAAGUGACGGAAAUGAUCAUUCAUAAUGGAGUCAUUUAAAAUAUAAAAAAUACCCUUAUGUAAAGUUGAAAAUUAUUUAUUUAUUAACCAAGGGGGGUUAUGUAUAUUUUGAAAACCAUAAGAAGGUUAUAUGGUAAAAUAUUAAACCAUAAGGGGAUUAUAUAGUAAAACAUAAAAAUCAUACAGAGUUAGUAUGCCAUGUAUUUAUAAGGAUAAUUUCAAUAUUUUUAAAAGUUCCGUAACGAAUAACUAUUUCCGUCACUUUGGCACUUUAAUCCUAACAAUGAGGGGAUUAUAUAUAACUUUUGAAACUAUAGAGGGGGAUAUGCACAAAAACACUAAACUAUAGGGGAUAAAGUAUAAUUUGCCCAAAAUUUAAUGAGGGCAAAGCUAAAAUUUUAUCAGAAUUGUAUGAGUGACAACAAAGCUUUCAUGGGAGCAGCCCCACAUUAAAUCUGCCACUGCUAUCAGUGUUACUUUCAUUCUAUUGUCACCUGCCUGACGAUUAUUGUACUCUACAACAUGGCUGAGAGCAAGAUUUGAGCAUUAAAAUUUAGCAACCAGAGGAGGAAAGAUAGAUUAAUUUGAACAUUUGAUCACAGCAUGAUAUAGACAAAUUAUUCUUGAUUAAUUUAGGAGGAAAGAUCGAUUAAUUUAGACAUUUGAUGAAGCAUGAUGUAGACAGAUUAUCAUUGAUUAAUGUGAUACUGACCCGAGAACCAAAAAAAUUGAAAUAAUGUGACUAUAACCCCUGAUUAGUGUGGAAUUGAUUAUGUAGUCAGCACUAUGUACAGGUAAGAACUUCAAAGCAUAAACUGACACAAGACUGGUUGUUAGAAGCAUAUUGUUAGAUACAAAAAUAUGGGCUUUCCGUCUACAAAUAAGAGAUACAUUUAAAGUCCAAGAUUUCAUGCGCACAUGAAAGAUUUGUUUCAAACAGAUUCACAAACCUCAGCACAAGGUUCAAGAAAUUAAUAUUUCAUUGAUUCGGGACAAAUGUGCUAAUAAAAUUCAUAAUAAGGGAUUAAGUUCAUUUUGAAAAAUAGAGGGUGCUAAGUGAAAUUGUCAUAAGUCUCACUCGAACAUCGUCCAAUCUAUCCCAAUUUAAGAUUUGGCAGAGUUACGAAAUUUACCAUGUAGUUUGGCCAAAUUACAGUUAUGCUUCAUAAAUAGCCAAAUAUUUGUCAAGUAUCCCCCUCAGAUAAUAACGUUCUAGAUCCCCAUAACUCUUUUAUAAUUUAACCUAAUUACAUUUGCCUCCUUGCCCAAAUCACAAAAGGAAUUGCAUUCAUUGUACAAGUCAUCGUCUAAACACUUUGAAUAACUAGAUAAUUAUUAAAAAAAAAAACCUCCACAUGUGUCACUUGAUCUUAACCAUGUAAAUGACAGUAACAUGAACAAGAUUUUACUAAAAUUACUUUUUUUAAUUUUUUUUUCUAGUAGGAAGGGAUGGAGUUCAAGAAGCGAAGAGGGAAAGGAGGAUUUGAAUACAGAACUUCUAAGUUUGAGAUUUGAAAUUCCUAAAGUAUCGUGUGCAUAAUCCUUUCUUCCUACCAUAAGCUACAAUUAGUGCAACCAAAACCCAUGUCAUGAGGCAUCAUCAAUUAUAACAUUGAAGUCACCAAUGGAGUUGAUUUAGCCACCAUGUUUUGCUGAAACCAUUUAAAGCCUAGCGUAUCUCUUUUUCAUUUUUUUUCUAAUUUACUUCAUGAUUUUAGGUCUCCAAUUCGAUUCAUUAUCUUUGGUCUCCAUUUUCAUUUGUCAUGAUCAUCAAGAAGUCCUUUUGCAAGUAUACAUUCCUAUGAUAUUACCAAUCAUGUUUAAUUACCCACUGCAAAUGUGACAAAAUCAAUUGAGAAUAACAAUGACCUAAAACUUGCAAAUUUUCUUUCAAAAUAAACUAAUGCAACUAGACUUGGCUGAGCUAAGAAAACAGAAAAUAAAAUAAACAAACAAGGCAGACGUAUACAUGGAUUGGUCCCCGGGAUAUGACAAGAGAUAUAUAGUAGAAUAACAUCUAGUUACAAUAUAUUUCUUGACACUUUAACUCACCUCAUAUAAUGUAAUUGUUGUUUUCAUCCUGUUUGUUACCUCUGUGACGAUUAUUAUACUCUAACAGUGAUAACAACAAGAUUUGAGCAUCAGAAAAUUUAGAAACUGGAGGAAAGAUACAAUAUUAAUAUUAGACACGACCAUAGCUUGAUAUACAAGAUAUAAUCCUUGAUUAAUGUGAUAUUGACACAAGAAAGAAAAAAUGGAACCCCUGAUUAGUGUGGAUUUAAUUAUGGGAUAAUUGCAUAAACCUCCCUUGACUUUUAUAGUAAUAGUAUUGACCUCCCCUAUCAAUUUUGAAAUAGCACUGAUCUCCCCUAUCAAAAGUUGGAGGCAAUUUAAUAGGCAAAAGUGGGUCAAUUUACUAAAGUACCCCUGACAUGAUUUAAUUUUACCAAAUAAAUAUGAUGAGUACUUUCAUCAAACCCAACAAAACAUUUGUUAAUAAAAAUUACACUAAAUUAACUAUUUCUGCAUAGUUUAACUAAUUAACUAAUUAACUAAAUAACUAAUAAUUUAAUUAAUUAAUAACUAAUUAUCUAAUUAACUAUUAACUAAUUAACUAAUUAUCUAAUUGUUAAUAGUUAUUAAUUAAUCAAACUAUUUUUGCAUAAUUAAACUAAUUAACUAUUAACUAAUUAUCUAAUUAAUUAAUUAACUAAUUUCUGUUUAUCUAAUUAACUAAUCUCUAUUUAUCUAAUUAUCUAAUUAUCUAAUUAACUAAUUAACUAAAGCUGUUGUCUGUCCGAAACUAAUAAAUUAUUUGCAUAUCAAACUAAUUAACUAAUUAGCUGCUUAACUAAUUAACUACCUAAUUAUCUAAUUAAUUAAUUAACUAAUUAACUAAUUUUUGUUUAUCUAAUUAACUAAUUAACUAAUUAUCUAAUUAACUAAAGUUGUUGUCUAUCCGAAACUAACAAAUUAUUUGCAUGUUAAACUAAUUAACUGUUUAACUAAUUAACUAAUUAACUAAAGCUGUUGUCUAUCCUAAACUAACAAACUAUUUGCAUGUUAAACUAAUUAACUAACUAAUUAUCCAAUUAAUUAAUUAAGUAAUUUUUGUUUAUCUAAUUAACUAAUUAUCUAAUUGACUAAUUAACUAAAGUUUUUGUCUAUCCGAAACUAACAAACUAUUUGCAUGUUAAACUAAUUAACUAAUUAACUGCUUAACUAAUUAACUAAUUAACUAAAGCUGUUAUCUGUCCGAAACUAACAAACUAUUUGCAUGUUAAACUAAUUAACUAAUUAACUACUUAACUAAUUAACUAACUAAUUAUCUAAUUAAUUAAUUAACUAAUUAACUAAUUUCUGUUUAUCUAAUUAACUAAUUAACUGAAGCUGUUGUCUAUCCAAAACUAACAAACUAUUUGCAUGUUAAACUAAUUAACUAAUUAACUGCUUAACUAAUUAACUAACUAAUUAUCUAAUUAAUUAAUUAACUAAUUUCUAUUUAUCUAAUUAACUAAUUAACUAAAGCUAUUGUCUGUCCGAAACUAACAAACUAUUUACAAGUUAAACUAAUUAACUGAUUAACUGCUUAACUAAUUAACUAAUUAAUUAGCUAACUAAUUAACAAACUAUUUGCAUGUUAAACUAUAUGCAGUACGCAUUACCUAUUUAAAGUAUCGGCUCUUUAUAGGUAUUUUACUUUCAAACAAUUAAUUUAUGAUAAAAAUAUCAAUGUUUGUAAGUAAACUUCAAAAAGUGUUGCAAAAAAUAUCAAUAUUCUUACUUUCAAACAUUUAAUUUAUGGCCCUAUACCCCUCCCUUUUUAUAAGAAUAUUACUGUAACAUUUUUUGAAUUUUACUUACAAACAUUGAUAUUUUUAUCAUAAAUUAAAUGUUUGAAAGUAAAAUACCCAUAAAGAGCCGAUACUUUAAAUAGGUAAUGCGUACUGCAUAUAGUUUAACAUGCAAAUAGUCUGUUAAUUAGUUAGUUAGUUAAUUAAUUGAUUAGUUAAGCAGUUAAUUAGUUAAUUAGUUUAACAUGCAUAUAGUUUGUUAGUUUCGGACAGACAACAGCUUUACUUAAUUAGUUAAUAAUUAAUCAGAUAAUUAGUUAAUAGUUAAUUAGUUUAACUAUUAACUAAUUAGAUAAUUAGUUAAGCAAUUGUCAAGCAAAUAAUAAUUGUCAAGCAAGAAGAGGGCAAAAUUGAAAGAAAUUUCUUAUCUCACUUCUAUUAAAGCUGUCAGGGAGGUUUCUGCAACGAAUUGUUACUGUUCAGGGGAGGUGAAUGCAAUUUCAAAAUCUAGAGGGGAGGUCAGUGCAAAUGUCAGAAAUCUCAGGGGAGGUUUCUGCAAUUAUCCCUUUAAUUAUAUAAUAACCAGUACUAAUACGACUUUCAAUCAGAUUUAAAAGCAUAAGCGAAGGUUGAUUAUCUUUUGUUAACUUAUUGCUGUAAUGGGGUUCUUUGUGGUGCAGGUAAGAACUUAAAAGCAUAAGCCGACACAAAAUUGGUUGUUAAAUUGAUUUUAAAUUCAUGAUAUAGAGGACAAAAAAUCCUUGAUUAGUAUGAUAUCGACCAGAGAAAGGAAAAAAAAAUGAAAUUGUGGGACCACUAACCCUUGAUUAGUCUGGAUUUGAUCAUAUAAUCAGCUGUACUAAUGCGACUUUUUCAGUUCAAAUGUAAAAGCAUAAGCUGAGAUUGGUUGUUAGUGUUUGUUGUCGUACUGGCCACUAAUGCUUUCUGGUAAGAACUCAAAUGCAUAAACUGACAUAAGAUUGGUUGUUUGAAGCAUAUAGUUACACUAGCUAGCGCAUGCAACUAGGGCAACUGCCCCCAAGAUUUAGGAAUUCUUAAAUACCCCUACAAAAAUUAAAUUUUUUUGUUUUUUUUAAUCCUUCUACAAAUCAGACUUUGUCCCUACAAGAUUUUAGAAAUCUUUUUAUAUCCCUUUGACAUGUUCAAAUUUUUUUCCUUACUAUCCUUGAAAAUAUUAAAUUUCGCACCGGAGCUUUCUACAAAAGUAUAAGAAUGCCCCCAUAAGUGUAUUUAUUUACUACUCUUGCCUCCUUUCCCAAAAUGUUAACCUCUAAUUCCAGCAAUGGUUCGAUUCAUUUCCGUUGGAUCGAGAUCAAGGACCUGCUCAAGUUACUUAACACGGGUUCUCCAUGGACAGAUAUUAACUUUCUGUUUUUGUGUUCAAAUAGAAGAGCAGUUUAUGGUCCACAAUUUCAAGCAUACAUGAAUUUUUUACGAAUAAAUUCACAAACCUUCACUAGGGUCUAGGAAGUCAAUAAUCUUUCAUUAAUUAAGUGAAAUUGUCAAUAACCUUUACUAGGGUCUAGGAAGAGCUAAGUGAAAUUGUCAUUAAUUACACUCGAGGUAUGUACAAUUCCCUAUUCAUCUUAUCAUUACUUUAUUGACGUUUAAUCUUUCAUUUUUUUUAAUGUAAACAUAAUCAACAAUUCAGGAAACCAAUUUUCAAUUUUUGCAAAGGUUGCACAGUGAACUCUUAUAGCCCUCUAUAUUUCACAAAUCCCUCAAAUUGAAGCUACUGCAAAUAUGAUUCAUAAUUAUUCAUCGGGUUACUUCAAAUUGAAAUUUAAGAUGAUAUGAUAAUGCCCUUUUGGUUUAAGACAACUAACUUUCCUUUUUGGUUUCAGUUAAUCUCUUGCCGAAUCACCCAAAAAAAAAGGAAAAAGAAAUGUAGCAUCAACUUUGUUUAGAUCUUAAUCAUGAGUCAUGAUCAAUAAUUAUGUUUCAGUCGCCAUUCACCAGAGAAGUAGUUUGGGCACCACUACCAUUGGCGUACUUUUUUUUUUAUUUUUUAUCAGCAACGAUACAUUUGUAUAACAUACUCUAUCCUAAUCUAGGGGAAGGAGGAAUCUAAGGAGGCUGUGGUAGGGACUAGUGGGUAUACAGACCCAACUAAAUCAACGGAGUGUUAUGGCACAACUUUUAAAAUUUUUUUCCGCUGCAAGUGAAGUUUAAACCCUCACCCACAACCCAAAGAAGGAUCUAAGUCCUUCCCUGGUGGCCACUGAGCCAUUGGUCCAGUGGUUCACUACCAUUGGCAUACUUGACAUGGAGAUAAUUAAAUUUCAUUUUUCGGACACAACAAAGUUUUAACUUUAAAAUUAUGAAAGCCAUGGAUCAAUACAGAAGUUUCUCUAUUCCCACUGCUCAGUGUUAAGUUUCAAUGUUUCAAAGACACUUAUUUUGAGAUCAAAAGUUAAAAUUCAACAAAGAUACUUCGUCACAGAUAGAAAUUAACAAAAUAUUCAACUUUGAAUUAUUGACAAAAAAAAAGGAAAUUUUGAAAUUGACAUACUAAGUUUCACAAAAAUGUUUUGGAGGAAAUUUCUUAUUCCACAAAUGUCAUGGAUGAUUUCUAAAUAUUUGGGAAAAGUGAGUUCGGACUUGGGAGAGUAUAAUAGCAGGUGAGGUGAGCCAUGGGCAAAGAAAAAGAAGAGAGAAGGAGAGGUUAUCUUGAAUUCUUUUUCCCUUUCAUUUUCAAAAUUGUGGUGAUUUCUUUCAAGUUUAGUGUAAAUUUUUGAAACCUUUGUUAUUGAUAUUUGGCUAUUGAAAAGGAUAGCUACAUUAUUUCUAAUUAAGCAACAUGGUCCCUUUCCAUGAUUUGGACAAACCUCAAGGGCAUAUUUGUGAUUUUAAUUCUUUUAGCCGGGAUUGUGAAUUUUAGGGACUGAUCCUCAAGUUGCACAAACUUUGCUGAAAAAUAAAUGUAAUUAACCCUAAUCUAAAAGCGAUGAAUCUUAUCUACAAACUGUGAAUGAAGAUGAUGCAAAUCUAAAGCGGAGAUAAAAGAAACUUAAGCCUCUGUUUAUCUACAAAGUAAUGGAGACAGUAAUAGUAUCUGAGACUUGGAAAUUCCUCAAGUUUGUAGAAUUCUAGCACAAAUAACUUUUUUUUUAAAAAAAAAAAAUAGAGGAUCAAUAGUAAUUCCUUAUUUACUCUUGUGAUGAUUUGAACUCGUACCUCUAUAGUAGUGGUUCGAGUCGGUGAUUUUUUUGUUUCAAAUAAAGCGUUUUACCAACUAGAUCAUAUUUCAUUUCAUUGUGUCUAAUACAAUGAAGUUUUAGUUAUUAGUAGGUAUGAAGAGUACAACCAUGAGUUUACUGAUUACGCUUAAGCUUUAUAUCGUAGAAUGUACAGCACCAGAACAUUGGUCCUGUUCAAUUUCAGCUACUUAGGACAGUGGCCCCUAAACAAAUAAAUUAGAAUGGAUAAAGAAAAUUGCUUUGUCACAAUGGACGGUUGCUUCUUGUAAUAAACAAUAAUAGAACGGAAAGGCAGACCUUUUGUAUCUGUUCAAUUAAAAAAUGAGCAGGACUCAUCUUGAUAAUCACUUACAAAUACACAGCCCUUGAACCUUCAUCAGUCACUCAGCAAAAACUUUUCUUCCUCACUUCAAAACUUGCCAAAAAAAAAAAAAAAAGCAUUUCUGCCUCUGAAAGGAUGGCUGAGAAUCUGCUUAUGAGUGCCUCAGUGGAGGUUUUACUGCAGAAAAUAAUCUCAGUCACUACUGAAAACAUUAACCUUGUUUUUGGUGGUCCUCAAGAAAUCUCAUGCCUAAUGGAGAACUGGUUUUCCCACUCCAGUGAAGAGACUAAUGUUGUGCAGGCCAUCAGACAAGAGUUGGAGGAAUUGAAAGGAUCUUUAUCCAACAUCCAAGCUGUCUCACAGGAUAAUCUGAGGCUGCAGGACAAGGCUGUGAUCGUUACGCUUUGGCUGCAGAAACUUUCUGAUAUAGCCGAUGAUGCUGAUAAUGCUUUGGCAGAUUUCAGCUAUCAAAUUCUCCAGCAUGAGGUGGAGAUGCUGAACCAAGAAAAACCAAAGGCAAGUCUCUUCUCCUGUCACUCUGAUAAGAAAGCUUUUCGCCAAGAAAUGAUGCCUAAAGCAAGAGGCAUCAGUAAUAAGCUGGAGAUGAUCAAUAAAGAAGUGAAAGACUUUUUAGCUUCUGAGAAAUAUGGUGUCACAACUGCUUCUUCCCCUCAGGUAGAUGUAGUUCAGGAGGUUGGCUUCUUGAUUGCUGACCUUAAAAUCACAGAAAAUGAGGAAAAGAGAUCUAUAGAAAAUUUCUGGUCCAUAAUAAAAGAAAAAGCAGGUGCAAGUGAUGAAAUACCAAUAGGCCUGGAGGACAUAGGAAGGCACAUUGCAGAAAAGUGUCAAGGUCUGUCUUUAGCAGCAAAUUUACUUGGAGGUUUGUUACAAAACAAAAAGAAGGGAUUUCUGGUUGUCAAUUUUAGAAAGCGGGGUAUUAGAUAAAGAAGAUGUAAUCUCUGCGAUACUCAAAUUGUGCUUUGAAAAUCUGCCAUCUCCAUUCCUCAAAAGAUGUUUUGCAUUUUGUUCGAUGUUUCCAAGGAACUCUGUUAUUGAAAGGGACCAGCUAGUCCAGCUUUGGAUGGCUGAAGGAUUUAUUGACCCAGGGUUGGGGAUUUCUGUGAUGGAGGAAAUAGGAAAUCAAUACUUUGACACUUUGUUGCAGAAUUCUUUACUUGAAAUUGUAAGCAAGGAUAACUUCAACAAAGUAACACAUUGUAAACUGCAUAAUCUUGUCUAUGAUUUUGCAUAUUCUCUAUCAAGCUUCGAGAGCAUCACCAUCGGCGAAAGAGAUCGAGAUGACAUUCGUCAGAUUCAACACCUUGCAUUGGAGUCGUUUACGGAGGAAACCAUGAAGAUUGCCAAGGAGAAAGCAAGAUAUUUGAGGACAUUAUUCCUAAAGAAAAAUUUACCUGACAAUAACUUGCUAAAUCUAAACUUCUUGUAUGUUUUAAACCUCUGUGAUGCAGAUAUAGCAGAAUUGCCAGCAUAUGUUGGAAAUCUAAGGAAUUUAGAAUACCUUGAUCUCUCGAGGACAGAGAUAAAGUCUAUACCUGACUCUGUCUGCAACCUUUACAAGUUGAAGACAUUGAGGAUCAUUGGAUGUAAUUCUCUUGAAGAACUCCCAAAAGAUUUCAAGAAUUUGCUAUGCCUGAGACAUCUUCACUUCUAUUAUAAUGAGUACUUCUCUAUGC